GAUGGUGCGGUUACGGCUUCACCAGCUAGAAUAUACGCUAUUAAGUCUCAAAGGAACUCAAUUCUCUCACCGGUCAGAAGGCCAGGUGUAAACACAUUAACAAUG
The submitters of this non-coding RNA (105 nucleotides) gave its source as unclassified sequences. The record is from Rfam.